Molecule: ribosomal RNA, 503 nt
Filed under: uncultured Acidobacteriota bacterium
Lineage: Bacteria; Pseudomonadati; Acidobacteriota
Description: bacterial SSU rRNA
Rfam family: Bacterial small subunit ribosomal RNA
Source: RNAcentral
GAGGCAGCAGUGGGGAAUUUUGCGCAAUGGGGGAAACCCUGACGCAGCAACGCCGCGUGGAGGAUGAAGUCCCUUGGGACGUAAACUCCUUUCGACCGGGACGAUUAUGACGGUACCCCAGGAGGAAGCCCCGGCUAACUUCGUGCCAGCACCCGCGGUAAUACGAGGGGGGCAAGCGUUGUUCGGAAUUAUUGGGCGUAAAGGGCGCGUAGGCGGUCUUAUAAUUCUUAUGUGAAAUCUUCGGGCUCAACUCUGAGUGGCCACNGGAAACUGCGGNACUUGAGUGCGGGAGAGGGGAGUGGAAUUCUCCGUGUAGCGGCGAAAUAUGUAGAUGUUUGGAGAAACACCUGUGGCGAAAGCGGCUUUCUGGGCCGUAACUGACGCUGAGACGCGAAAGCUCGGGGAGCAAACACGAUUAGAUAUCCUGGUAGUCCCCGCGCUAAACGAUGAUGUCCUUGGUGUGGCGGGUCCUCACCCCUCAGUGCCGCAGCUAACGCAUAAGC